GGAUCCUUAGCUCAGUUGGUAGAGCGUCCUCUUGACAUGGCGAAGGUCGCUAGUUCAACCCCAGCAGGAUCCACCA
This 76-nucleotide transfer RNA is filed under the name Roseibium sp. RKSG952. Its description in RNAcentral is "tRNA-Val". It matches the Rfam family "tRNA". From Rfam's summary of the family: Transfer RNA (tRNA) molecules are approximately 80 nucleotides in length. Their secondary structure includes four short double-helical elements and three loops (D, anti-codon, and T loops). The record is from RNAcentral. Lineage: Bacteria; Pseudomonadati; Pseudomonadota; Alphaproteobacteria; Hyphomicrobiales; Stappiaceae.